AGGUUAAUGUGGACCUCAUCUCCAACUUGGGAGGCCUGGUUUUCACUGGGGCCAGAGGUGGUCUUCCUUCCCAUCUUUUAGUAGAAGCAGACUGGCAGGUGAAAGGACGCCGAACAGGCCAGAGUCUUCGCGGCAUUCUGCGCUUCUGGGGAAGGCGUCCUGACCACGUCGGCAUUGUGGAACCCAAAGAGGAGAUCCUGCCAACCACCCCCAUCUCUGAGCAGAAGGGAGCCAAGCCAGAGCAGCAGGCACAGCCCCCUGCCAUGCCCCAGCCUGUGCCCACCGCUUAAUGGGAUGCUGAACACCAGGACGUAAAGUUCUUGCAUUCGGCUUAAAUCUGUAAAAUAAAAAACGCCCAAAAAAUGUA
This is a long non-coding RNA of Bufo gargarizans (Asiatic toad), 367 nucleotides long. RefSeq lists it as uncharacterized. The record is from RefSeq and is a predicted model, not a curated record. Lineage: Eukaryota; Metazoa; Chordata; Amphibia; Anura; Bufonidae. The transcript is spliced from 2 exons.